RNAcentral lists this ribosomal RNA (916 nucleotides) under uncultured bacterium. Its description in RNAcentral is "bacterial SSU rRNA". It matches the Rfam family "Bacterial small subunit ribosomal RNA", at positions 246 to 1155 of the family's 1533-position model. The record is from RNAcentral.
UUGUUGGUAAGGUAAAAGCUUACCAAGGCUUCGAUCAGUAGCUGGUCUGAGAGGACGACCAGCCACACUGGGACUGAGACACGGCCCAGACUCCUACGGGAGGCAGCAGUGGGGAAUUUUGGACAAUGGGGGCAACCCUGAUCCAGCCAUGCCGCGUGAGUGAAGAAGGCCUUCGGGUUGUAAAGCUCUUUCAGCCGGAACGAAACGGUUACGGUUAAUACCCGUGACUACUGACGGUACCGGAAGAAGAAGCACCGGCUAACUACGUGCCAGCAGCCGCGGUAAUACGUAGGGUGCGAGCGUUAAUCGGAAUUACUGGGCGUAAAGCGUGCGCAGGUGGUUUUGUAAGUCAGAUGUGAAAGCCCCGGGCUCAACCUGGGAACUGCGUUUGAAACUACAAGACUAGAGUGUGGCAGAGGGGGGUGGAAUUCCGCGUGUAGCAGUGAAAUGCGUAGAGAUGUGGAGGAACACCGAUGGCGAAGGCAGCCCCCUGGGUCAACACUGACGCUCAGGCACGAAAGCAUGGGGAGCAAACAGGAUUAGAUACCCUGGUAGUCCAUGCCCUAAACGAUGUCAACUAGUUGUCGGGCCUUUACGGGCUUGGUAACGUAGCUAACGCGUGAAGUUGACCGCCUGGGGAGUACGAUCGCAAGAUUAAAACUCAAAUGAAUUGACGGGGACCCGCACAAGCGGUGGAUUAUGUGGAUUAAUUCGAUGCAACGCGAAAAACCUUACCUACCCUUGACAUGUAUCGAAGCCCGCAGAAAAGCGGGGGUGCCCGAAAGGGAACGAUAACACAGGUGCUGCAUGGCUGUCGUCAGCUCGUGUCGUGAGAUGUUGGGUUAAGUCCCGCAACGAGCGCAACCCUUGUCAUUAAUUGCCGUCAUUUAGUUGGGCACUUUAAUGAGACUGCCGG